Molecule: ribosomal RNA, 465 nt
Filed under: uncultured bacterium
Lineage: Bacteria
Description: partial 16S ribosomal RNA
Rfam family: Bacterial small subunit ribosomal RNA
Source: RNAcentral
AGUGAACGCUGGCGGCGUGCUUAACACAUGCAAGUCGAACGAGUAAGUGCUGUAGCAAUACAGAUUACUGCUAGUGGCAGACGGGUGAGUAAUACAUGGGAAUCUACCUUGAAGUCUGGGAUAACUGUUGGAAACGACAGCUAAUACCGGAUAUUGCCGAGAGGUGAAAGUUUUUCGCUUCAAGAUGAGCCCAUGCAAGAUUAGCUAGUUGGUAGGGUAAUGGCCUACCAAGGCGAAGAUCUUUAGCUGGUCUAAGAGGAUGAUCAGCCACACUGGAACUGAGACACGGUCCAGACUCCUACGGGAGGCAGCAGUGGGGAAUAUUGGACAAUGGGCGAAAGCCUGAUCCAGCGACGCCGCGUGAGUGAUGAAGGCCUUCGGGUUGUAAAGCUCUUUCAGUAGGGAAGAUAAUGACGGUACCUACAGAAGAAGCUCCGGCUAACUUCGUGCCAGCCGCCGCCGUAA